AUUUACGGCUCAGUAACACGUAGUCAACCUGCCCUAGAGACAUGAAUAACCCCGGGAAACUGGGAUUAAUACAUGAUAGAUCAUCUCAUCUGGAAGGAGAGAUGGUUUAAAGGGGUGCGCGAGCUUCUUUUGUGCAUCCGCUCUAGGAUGGGACUGCGGCCGAUCAGGCUGUUGGUGGGGUAAUGGCCCACCAAACCUGUAACCGGUACGGGCCUUGAGAGAGGGGGCCCGGAGAUGGACACUGAGAGAAGGGUCCAGGUCCUACGGGGCGCAGCAGGCGCGAAACCUUCGCAAUGCGCGAAAGCGUGACGAGGUUAAUCCGAGUGGUUCCCGCUGAGGGAAUCUUUUGUUGGCUCUAAAAUGGCCAGUGAAUAAGGGGAGGGCAAGUCUGGUGUCAGCCGCCGCGGUAAUACCAGCUCCUCGAGUGGUCGGGGCGAUUAUUGGGCCUAAAGCAUCCGUAGCCUGUUCUGUAGGUCUUCUGUUAAAUCCAACGGCUUAACCGUUGGCCUGCAGAAGAUACCGCAGGACUAGGAGGCGGGAGAGGUGGACGGUACUCCACGUGUAGGGGUAAAAUCCUUUGAUCCGUGGAAGACCACCAGUGGCGAAGGCGGUCCACCAGAACGCGCUCGACGGUGAGGGAUGAAAGCUGGGGGAGCGAACCGGAUUAGAUACCCGGGUAGUCCCAGCCGUAAACGAUGCGAGCUAGAUGAUCCAAUCGCAAAUCGCGAUUGGAGUGUCGCAGGGAAGCCGUUAAGCUCGCCGCCUGGGGAGUACGGUCGCAAGACUGAAACUUAAAGGAAUUG
RNAcentral lists this ribosomal RNA (803 nucleotides) under uncultured crenarchaeote. Its description in RNAcentral is "bacterial SSU rRNA". It matches the Rfam family "Archaeal small subunit ribosomal RNA", at positions 81 to 867 of the family's 1478-position model. The record is from RNAcentral. Lineage: Archaea; Thermoproteati; Thermoproteota.